Molecule: transfer RNA, 65 nt
Filed under: Pseudanoplocephala crawfordi
Lineage: Eukaryota; Metazoa; Platyhelminthes; Cestoda; Cyclophyllidea; Hymenolepididae
Description: tRNA-Asn
Source: RNAcentral
GUCUGUGUAGAUUAUUUUUAAAUCGUGAUGCUGUUAACUUCAAAAAGAGUGUUGCUCCACGGUCG